This 1372-nucleotide ribosomal RNA is filed under the name uncultured bacterium. Its description in RNAcentral is "bacterial SSU rRNA". It matches the Rfam family "Bacterial small subunit ribosomal RNA", at positions 28 to 1381 of the family's 1533-position model. The record is from RNAcentral.
GAUGAACGCUGGCGGCGUGCCUAAUACAUGCAAGUCGAGCGAACGGACGAGAAGCUUGCUUCUCUGAUGUUAGCGGCGGACGGGUGAGUAACACGUGGAUAACCUACCUAUAAGACUGGGAUAACUUCGGGAAACCGGAGCUAAUACCGGAUAAUAUUUUGAACCGCAUGGUUCAAAAGUGAAAGACGGUCUUGCUGUCACUUAUAGAUGGAUCCGCGCUGCAUUAGCUAGUUGGUAAGGUAACGGCUUACCAAGGCAACGAUGCAUAGCCGACCUGAGAGGGUGAUCGGCCACACUGGAACUGAGACACGGUCCAGACUCCUACGGGAGGCAGCAGUAGGGAAUCUUCCGCAAUGGGCGAAAGCCUGACGGAGCAACGCCGCGUGAGUGAUGAAGGUCUUCGGAUCGUAAAACUCUGUUAUUAGGGAAGAACAUAUGUGUAAGUAACUGUGCACAUCUUGACGGUACCUAAUCAGAAAGCCACGGCUAACUACGUGCCAGCAGCCGCGGUAAUACGUAGGUGGCAAGCGUUACCCGGAAUUAUUGGGCGUAAAGCGCGCGUAGGCGGUUUUUUAAGUCUGAUGUGAAAGCCCACGGCUCAACCGUGGAGGGUCAUUGGAAACUGGAAAACUUGAGUGCAGAAGAGGAAAGUGGAAUUCCAUGUGUAGCGGUGAAAUGCGCAGAGAUAUGGAGGAACACCAGUGGCGAAGGCGACUUUCUGGUCUGUAACUGACGCUGAUGUGCGAAAGCGUGGGGAUCAAACAGGAUUAGAUACCCUGGUAGUCCACGCCGUAAACGAUGAGUGCUAAGUGUUAGGGGGUUUCCGCCCCUUAGUGCUGCAGCUAACGCAUUAAGCACUCCGCCUGGGGAGUACGACCGCAAGGUUGAAACUCAAAGGAAUUGACGAGGACCCGCACAAGCGGUGGAGCAUGUGGUUUAAUUCGAAGCAACGCGAAGAACCUUACCAAAUCUUGACAUCCUUUGACAACUCUAGAGAUAGAGCCUUCCCCUUCGGGGGACAAAGUGACAGGUGGUGCAUGGUUGUCGUCAGCUCGUGUCGUGAGAUGUUGGGUUAAGUCCCGCAACGAGCGCAACCCUUAAGCUUAGUUGCCAUCAUUAAGUUGGGCACUCUAAGUUGACUGCCGGUGACAAACCGGAGGAAGGUGGGGAUGACGUCAAAUCAUCAUGCCCCUUAUGAUUUGGGCUACACACGUGCUACAAUGGACAAUACAAAGGGCAGCGAAACCGCGAGGUCAAGCAAAUCCCAUAAAGUUGUUCUCAGUUCGGAUUGUAGUCUGCAACUCGACUACAUGAAGCUGGAAUCGCUAGUAAUCGUAGAUCAGCAUGCUACGGUGAAUACGUUCCCGGGUCU